CCUACGGGUGGCUGCAGUGGGGAAUAUUGGACAAUGGGCGAAAGCCUGAUCCAGCCAUGCCGCGUGUGUGAAGAAGGCCUUCGGGUUGUAAAGCACUUUCAGUGGGGAAGAAAGCCUUGGGGCUAAUACCCUCGAGGAAGGACAUCACCCACAGAAGAAGCACCGGCUAACUCCGUGCCAGCAGCCGCGGUAAUACGGAGGGUGCGAGCGUUAAUCGGAAUUACUGGGCGUAAAGCGCGCGUAGGCGGUCUGAUAAGCCGGUUGUGAAAGCCCCGGGCUCAACCUGGGAACGGCAUCCGGAACUGUCAGGCUAGAGUGCAGGAGAGGAAGGUAGAAUUCCCGGUGUAGCGGUGAAAUGCGUAGAGAUCGGGAGGAAUACCAGUGGCGAAGGCGGCCUUCUGGACUGACACUGACGCUGAGGUGCGAAAGCGUGGGUAGCAAACAGGAUUAGAUCCCCGGGUAGUC
RNAcentral lists this ribosomal RNA (465 nucleotides) under Vreelandella stevensii. RNAcentral describes it as "partial 16S ribosomal RNA". It matches the Rfam family "Bacterial small subunit ribosomal RNA", at positions 338 to 795 of the family's 1533-position model. Lineage: Bacteria; Pseudomonadati; Pseudomonadota; Gammaproteobacteria; Oceanospirillales; Halomonadaceae. The record is from RNAcentral.